RNAcentral lists this ribosomal RNA (467 nucleotides) under uncultured bacterium. RNAcentral's name for it is "partial 16S ribosomal RNA". It matches the Rfam family "Bacterial small subunit ribosomal RNA", at positions 28 to 506 of the family's 1533-position model. The record is from RNAcentral.
GACGAACGCUGGCGGCGUGCUUAACACAUGCAAGUCGAACGGAAAGGCCCUGCUUUUGUGGGGUGCUCGAGUGGCGAACGGGUGAGUAACACGUGAGUAACCUGCCCUUGACUUUGGGAUAACUUCAGGAAACUGGGGCUAAUACCGGAUAGGAGCUCCUGCUGCAUGGUGGGGGUUGGAAAGUUUCGGCGGUUGGGGAUGGACUCGCGGCUUAUCAGCUUGUUGGUGGGGUAGUGGCUCACCAAGGCUUUGACGGGUAGCCGGCCUGAGAGGGUGACCGGCCACAUUGGGACUGAGAUACGGCCCAGACUCCUACGGGAGGCAGCAGUGGGGAAUAUUGCACAAUGGGCGGAAGCCUGAUGCAGCAACGCCGCGUGCGGGAUGACGGCCUUCGGGUUGUAAACCGCUUUCGCCUGUGACGAAGCGUGAGUGACGGGAAUGGGUAAAGAAGCACCGGCUAACUACGU